Molecule: non-coding RNA, 111 nt
Organism: Acanthosepion pharaonis
Lineage: Eukaryota; Metazoa; Mollusca; Cephalopoda; Sepiida; Sepiidae
Source: the annotation of a GenBank genome assembly
CGGCUAUAUCACUUUCCAAUACUGACUCCUGUACGACCACCGAAGUUAAGCAACUUCGAGCCUGGUCAAUACCUAGAUGGGGGACCCCUUGUAAAUACCAGGUGCUGUAGG